GGAAAGGUCUAGGGGGUAUGGCUGUGUCUCAUUAGAGGGACACAUGGAGUUGUGCAGUCUCUCUACAGGGCUGGAAGCUGUUUCCCUCCACCUAUAGUCUGAAUGUGACAAUUAGUCAGAUGUGUCCCGUUAAUAUUAAGUCAUGCCAUUGACAAUAAGUGUUAGUUAAUCAAGAAUAAUAUAUAGUAUGUACUAUACUUAGAGAAGUGUAAAGAGAUUUGGGUAACACUUUAUUUGAAGGGGUGUGCAUAAGACUGACAUGUCACUGUCAUAAAUAUGACAUAACUGUCAGGGUUCCUGUGUGUGUGUGAGUGAUCCAUCUGUUCCAGCGAAGAUCUUGGUGAAGAACCUGGGCAGCCUACACAGGUGGAUCUCAUCUGCCUCAUCAGUGUUGGGGAUAAAGGAGCAGCAGAACAUUCGCUCAGUGCUGGAUGAUUAACGUGCACCGGUCAGUCUCUGGAGUUUCAACUGGAUCAAGUUCCAUUGUUUUCUCCUCCUGAGGAUUUUACCUCCAAGUCUGCCUGCCCGCUGCUCCCUCCACACCUCUCCAUCAAUUCUCCGGCUCCCAGUCAAUACCAUCCUCACUCUUCUCAGGAACCUCCGUGAACCAUUUUCCACACUGGACCUUGGCACAUUCCCCCAUGCCUCAACCAGAAUCAUUCUAAAGCACCUCCGAUUGCACGACACUAUCGCCCCCAGAAGGAUUAAGAAGAAUUGCCUUUAAGUUGUCUGUCUUUAAGAAAAUAAAAUCCUUACAUUUACUUAGGCUUGUUGAUUUUGCAUGUGGGUCAGAAGGUUAAAGCCGAACAUGGCAGAAUCAUCCAGCCAAGUUGACCCAGCAGAAUCUACUCCUGACCCCAAUUUAGAUCAUGCUGUACUGGUCCGUCAUGACUCAAUGCUGCACUCUUUAUACGAUCAACAAACGAAUACUAACCAGCGUUUAGAUCAAUUUGCAGGAAUGCUUAAGGAGCUUCACCAAAAGCUUGUUUCUGCUAGUCCUCCUCCCGCUGUAGGGCCACCUCCUGCCGCAGAUCCACUCCCUCCUCAGGCCAGCGCUUCCGCCAGUCCUGCACAAAGUCCUCCAGCGUCCGUUCGUCUCAGAGAGGUCUCCCCACCCACACCUGAGCCCUAUUCUGGUGAGAUAGGUAAAUGUGGGGGGUUUUUAUUGCAAUGCUCUUUAGUUUUUUCUUUUUCACCCCAAAGCUUUCAAACGGAUGCUGCAAAGAUAUCGUACGUUAUUGGUUUGUUAAGGGGAAGAGCGCUAAAAUGGGCGGAG
Poecilia latipinna (sailfin molly) is the source of this 1276-nucleotide long non-coding RNA. RefSeq lists it as uncharacterized. NCBI's taxonomy places the organism in Eukaryota, Metazoa, Chordata, Actinopteri, Cyprinodontiformes, Poeciliidae. The record is from RefSeq and is a predicted model, not a curated record. The transcript has 3 exons.